Molecule: long non-coding RNA, 1630 nt
Filed under: Equus caballus (horse)
Lineage: Eukaryota; Metazoa; Chordata; Mammalia; Perissodactyla; Equidae
Description: lncRNA (ENSECAG00000046567.1)
Source: RNAcentral
GGGGCGGGGGGGGCUGUGCUUAAUAGAGUGGAUGGGGGCAAGGGGGAGAGGGGGCUUCUCUGAAGUAUGGAGAUAAAAGCAGACCCGCCUGGGAACCAGAGAGAAUUGAGGCCGUCUAAACAGGAAGGGAGGAAGGAGAGAGGAAGAGACAGGGCACAGGGGAGACUAGGGGUGAAAAAGCAACCGCUAAGGGAGAGUCUGACGCAGGGGUGAGGGGUGGAGAUGAGGAAAGGGAGCUUGGAAGAGAAAUUGAGGAAGGACGGGUCAGUGGGAAGACUGAAGGCUAUUGCAGGACUUGAACUAAGAGGUCUUGAAGUCGUUUUCUUUCUGGAUUUCUGGCUGCAAUCCAGUGACACCUGACGGGGGUGGCGAGGGGGAUCCUGAUAGCUGAUUGGCCGCGGCAAGGAUCCUGAAGGAGGCCGCGGUCUGCCAGUGCACCCAGGCCCCAGCUGUGACUCAGCCGCCGCUCUCCAGCACCGGGAGAGGGAACUCUCCGCCCGCCCGCGGACCCACCCCCGGCGCGAGCCGUGACGUCUCCCGGAAUUCACAGCUGCCCUCUCUCCCCGCUGGGCUCCCCCCAUCGGCACGCAGGAGGCUCUUCUGUCGCAGGCGGGAGCUGAGAGCAAACUGCCGGGGUCGUGCACGACUCCCCGGGGCUUCCCGCAGAAGCUGAUUGGCAAGGGGGGGUGGGGUGGGGUUCCGGCAGCCGUUGGUAACCCCCGCCCUGUCCCCUCCGCCUCCGCCCCAGUAAGAGAGGGCUGUAAAAUUCCGGAAGAGAGAUUAGAGGCAGGGGAUGGGUGGGGCAGUGAAUCAGUACAUUCCUUUCUCCCCCUGCCUCCUCCUGCCCUGUUAUCACUUUGGGUGGGUUGGGUCCUCUUAUGGCCUUCUCCUGACCGGUCCACUGGCAGGGUCCAGACAAGCUAAGCAGUGCUGGGCGGGAACCUCCCAAACUCAGCUGAACUUUGUAGAGCCUGGAUCACUUACUUUGCAGUUCAUGACCCCAUUUGGUUUCGGGUUGGGGAAUUUUGGUCCUUGCUUCCAACUGGGUCCCUUCCACAAGAGUAGUUCUUAGGCCUGUCUGUGCAUUUGUUAGUAGCUCCCAUUAAUUGAGCAAGCUCUUGCUCCGAGGCAAGGUCUGUGCUAGGUCAAUCAGUCUUAUGUUCCUAAAACUUUGCAAGGUAGGCAUACCUUCUCUCCUGUUAGAAGCCAGGACUCUGAAAGCUCAGAGAGGUUAGGUAACUUGCUCAAGGUCACACAGUGGCAAAGCCAGGAGUAGUCCCAGCUCUAUUAGUUCCAUAAAUUUUCCACCACACUCCGUGGCUUCCUUUAGCACACUGAAAGGCAACACUUAUUAGGGGGUGGCGAAGUAACAUCUAUGGACCACUUCCCACUGUGCUAGGUACUUUAAAUAUAUUGUCUUUAAUCAUUUACUUUUUUCACAACAACCCCCUGAGAGAGAUACGAUCACCAUGCCCAUAUUACACAGGAGGAAACUUUCGUUAGGAAUUUCAGGGGCAGAGCUGGGAUUCCUGUACAGUCAUAGUACAAAGCCGCAGUUAAUGUUUGUAUAGUGCUUGACAGUUUCCAAAGCCCUUUCAAGAUCUUCAUUUCAGUCUAUCCCAUUUCACAG